Long non-coding RNA from Pseudopipra pipra, 2856 nucleotides. RefSeq lists it as uncharacterized. Lineage: Eukaryota; Metazoa; Chordata; Aves; Passeriformes; Pipridae. The record is from RefSeq and is a predicted model, not a curated record. The transcript is spliced from 3 exons.
UUCCGGCAGUCGGCAAGAUGGCGGCGCUGGGACGGGCAGUGCGAGAGGAGGAGGGAAGGGAAGAACGGUUUGGGUUGGAAAGACCUUAAAGCCCAUCCAGCCCCACUCCCAGGGACACCUUCCAUAGCCCAGGUUGCUCCAGGCCCCGUCUAACCCGGCCUUGGGCACUUCCAGGGGAUUAAGGCAAGAUCCGUUUAAGUGAGGCUGGUAGGAGCAAUCCCAGAGAAACGCCUGGGGAUUAAAGAAGAACUGGAGCAGCAGCUGUGGAGCUGAGCCUGUGGAGUUGAGCUCUCCAUGUCCUCCAUGUGGACAUGGAGAGCAGAGAGGAAAGGUCAAAACCUGCUCUCAUGCUUGGCAAAACAUCAUCAAGUGAUUCCCAAGGCCUCAGAGGGCCCCCUGUGCACCUUAAAGGACCUGCCACAGCCUGGACAGCCAGUUAAACAGCAGAAAUUAUGCCAAAUAUCAUCAAUUCUGUAAAUGUGAGUACUACAGAGAAUUAACAACAGACAGAAGUACAAACAAACUCAGCAGUUCCUCAGUGCACAACCCCUGCCCCUUCCCAACUGGGCCUCACUUCCUUCAAUCCCAAAGCUCCCAACCAACAUUCAGUGCACAGCACAAACUCCCACAUCCAGCAAGAGCUCCCCACCUUCUUCCUGGGAAACAUUUUGGCCAAAGGAAGAGAAAAAAUGAAGGGAAAAGAGAGGGGGCACCUGGAGUUGAACCAGGGACCUCUUGAUCUGCAGUCAAAUGCUCUACCACUGAGCUAUACCCCCCUGGGGCUGCACCUGAACAAAGGGAUUUAAAAACAUUUAUGAAGAGAAACACAUUUCUGUGUCCACUGCUUGGGCUCUUUUACUCAACAGCCCCCUGCACCCUGCCUGUCAAAGGCUGUACAGGGAGUUAAACAGGAGAAAUGAUGGGAAAUAUGGUCAGUUCUGGGAAAUAUUGUCAGUUUUGGUAAAUAUAGAGUUAGGAACAGAGAAAGGCACACACAAACAGUGAGUAGUUACUCACACAGGGCACAGCUCCUGGAGCUUCCCAGGAGUCAGGGCCUUGGAACCUUCAAAGAUGGAGCUCAGAACCACAUGGAGAGAACAGCACAAGCUGCCAGAUUCAGGAAGGGGCUCUCCAGCUUCUUUCUGGGAAAGAUUUUGGCAAAAUAAAGGCUGAAGGAGAGGAAAAGAGGGGGCACCUGGAGUUGAACCAGGGACCUCUUGAUCUGCAGUCAAAUGCUCUACCACUGAGCUAUACCCCCUUGGUGCAGAAUGUGCACAGGGAUAUUUUAAAAUGUUUAUGGAGACAGACAAGUUUUGAUAUCUAUGGUUUGUAUUCCUUUAUUUGACAGCCCCCUGUGCACCUUAAAGGACCUGCCACAGGCUCUACAGCCAGUUAAACAGAAGAAAUGAUGCCAAAUAUUAUCAAUUCUGCUAAAUGGGAGUACUGCAGAGAAUUAACAACAGACAAAACAAGCUCAGCAGUUCCUCAGUGCACAACCCCUGCCCCUUCCCAACAGGGCCUCAUUUCCUUCAAUCCCAAGGCUCCCAACCAACAUUCAGUGCACAGCACAAACUCCCACAUCCAACAAGAGCUCCCCACCUUCUCCCUGGGAAACAUUUUGGCCAAAGGAAGAGAAAAAAAUGAAGGGAAAAGAGAAGGGAGCACCUGGAGUUGAACCAGGGACCUCUUGAUCUGCAGUCAAAUGCUCUACCACUGAGCUAUACCCCCCUUGGUGCAGGGUGUGCACAGGUAGAUACAAAAAACAUUUAUUUGGAAAGAAACAAGUUUUUUCUGUCUGUGGGUCGGAUUCUUUUUCUUGCAAGCUCCCUUUGUGUGCCUGCCAAAGGGAGUUAAAUACCAUAAAUUGUGAUAAAUGUGAUCACUGCAGAAAAUGAAGAACAGAGGAAGGCCCAGACAGUGAGAAGUUGCUCACACAGGGCACAACCUCUGGAGUUUCCCCAUAGUCAGAGCCACGAUACCUUUGAAGCUGAAGCUCAGAACCAAGGUUGAGUGCACAGAACAAACUCCCAGAUCCACCAAGAGCUCCCCAGCUUCCUCCUGGGAAAGAUUUUGGCCAAAGGAAGAGAAAAAAAUGAAGGGAAAAGAGAGGGGGCACCUGGAGUUGAACCAGGGACCUCUUGAUCUGCAGUCAAAUGCUCUACCACUGAGCUAUACCCCCUGCUUCCAGCCAGCAUUCCCAGCAGGAAUCUCCCUGCUAAUUGCCAUCCCAGCAAAACUGCUAAUUAAUCCCAGGGCAGAAAAGCAGGUUCUCAAAGAAAUACUCAUCCCUCUCCUUGGGAACACUGUGCAGAGGCUCCUCUGCCCUGCUGGGGGUCACCUGCAGCCUGCAACCAGCACAAGAGCUCUGGGGGGGAAAUGUGGGGAUGGAGAGCUCCAAACCAAAUCCUGGGGGAUGAAAAGAAGGGGAAAAAAAAAAUAAAAGGGGAGGGGGCACCCGGAUUUGAACCGGGGACCUCUUGAUCUGCAGUCAAAUGCUCUGCCCCUGAGCUAUACCCCCGUGAGGGAGGCAGGGCCAGGGAGGCUCCUUGUGGGCAGUGACACGGCCACAUUCCAGGGCUGCUCCCACACCUCAGCCCUGCCACAUUCCAGGGCUGCUCCCACACCUCAGCCCUGCCACAUUCCAGGGCUGCUCCCACACCUCAGCCCUGCCACAGUCCAGGGCUGCUCCCACACCUCAGCCCUGCCACAUUCCCAGGGCUGCUCCCACCCCUCAGCCCUGACACAUCCCAGGGCUGCUCCCACACCUCAGCCCUGCCACAGUCCAGGGCUGCUCCCACACCUCAGCCCUGCCACAUCCCAGGGCUGCUCCCACACCUCAUCCCUGCCAUGUUCCAG